Molecule: ribosomal RNA, 492 nt
Filed under: uncultured bacterium
Lineage: Bacteria
Description: partial 16S ribosomal RNA
Rfam family: Bacterial small subunit ribosomal RNA
Source: RNAcentral
AGUGAACGCUGGCGGUAGGCCUAACACAUGCAAGUCGAACGGCAACACAGUAAGAGCUGGCUCCUACGGUUGGCGAGUGGCGGACGGGUGAGGAAUACUUCGGAAUCUACUUUUGCGUGGGGGAUGACGUAGGGAAAUUUACGCUAAUACGGCACACGACCUGCGGGUGAAAGCAGGGGAUCUUCGGAUCUUGCGCGAUCGAAUGAGCCGAUGCCGGAUUAGCUAGUUGGUGGGGUAAAGGCCCAGCAAGGCGUCGAUCCGUAGCUGGUCUGAGAGGAUGAUCAGCCACAUUGGAACUGAGACACGGUCCAGGCUCCUACGGGAGGCCGCAGUGGGCAAUAUUGGACAAUGGGGGGAAGCCUGAUCCAGUCAUAGCGAGUGGGUGAAGAAGGCCUUCGGGUUGUGAAGCCGUUUUGUUGGGAAAGAAAAGCAGCAGGUUAAUACCCCGCUGUUCUGACGGUACCCAAAGAAUAAGCACCGGCUAACUUCGUG